UCGCGGCCUAUCAGCUUGUUGGUGAGGUAAAGGCUCACCAAGGCGACGACGGGUAGCCGGCCUGAGAGGGUGACCGGCCACACUGGAACUGAGACACGGUCCAGACUCCUACGGGAGGCAGCAGUGGGGAAUAUUGCACAAUGGGCGAAAGCCUGAUGCAGCAACGCCGCGUGAGGGAUGAAGGCCUUCGGGUUGUAAACCUCUUUUAGCAGGGAAGAAGCGAAAGUGACGGUACCUGCAGAAAAAGCACCGGCUAACUACGUGCCAGCAGCCGCGGUAAUACGUAGGGUGCAAGCGUUGUCCGGAAUUAUUGGGCGUAAAGAGCUCGUAGGCGGUUUGUCGCGUCUGCUGUGAAAACUGGAAGCUCAACUUCCAGCCUGCAGUGGGUACGGGCAGACUAGAGUGCGGUAGGGGAGAACGGAAUUCCUGGUGUAGCGGUGGAAUGCGCAGAUAUCAGGAGGAACACCGAUGGCGAAGGCAGUUCUCUGGGCCGUUACUGACGCUGAGGAGCGAAAGCGUGGGGAGCGAACAGGAUUAGAUACCCUGGUAGUCCACGCCGUAAACGGUGGGUGCUAGCUGUGGGCCACAUUCCACGUGGUCCGUGACGAAGUUAACACAUUAAGCACCCCGCCUGGGGAGUACGG
This 644-nucleotide ribosomal RNA is filed under the name uncultured bacterium. RNAcentral describes it as "bacterial SSU rRNA". It matches the Rfam family "Bacterial small subunit ribosomal RNA", at positions 231 to 885 of the family's 1533-position model. The record is from RNAcentral.